Protopterus annectens (West African lungfish) is the source of this 571-nucleotide long non-coding RNA. RefSeq lists it as uncharacterized. Lineage: Eukaryota; Metazoa; Chordata; Ceratodontiformes; Protopteridae. The transcript is spliced from 2 exons. The record is from RefSeq and is a predicted model, not a curated record.
UGUAAUGUCUUGUUUAUCUUUUCCACUGUAGGCUGAAACAUUAUUCAGACUUCUAAUGUUGAGUAAUAUAUUUAAAGGAAUUUAUCCUUUAGGAAAAGCGCAAGAUUCCUGGAAUAUGUAUAUUCCUUUUUUCCAUUUUUGGAGUGUGGGUGUGCAUUAACCAUUGAAUAUGGAAAGCGCCUUGCAUGGAGAUUUUAAAAGAUUAUCGAGACAGAAGCUUAGAACAUUUCUGAUGCUGAUACUGCAGUCUUCAAAAUAGUCCAUUAACAGAACACACUAAAUUUAUUUCAAGAAUUUGUAUUUAAAAAUGUGGUUGGCAAAUAGAUGCUGCCUUCAUUACAAGUUAAAAAGGUUCUGACCAGAAUUACAAAGUAUAUUUGGGAACUGAUUACCAAAAGGAAAAUUUUCAUGUAAGCUGUCCAUCAGCAUGCGUCUUUGGAAUUUCUCUUGUGUGGGUCUGAGAACAGCUGAAUAUACCUACCUGUAAGCUGAACCCAAGAAUGUAAUUUUCUCACAUUUCCAUCAAAAGGCCACAAAGUACAAUAAAACAUCUUUAGUCAUUUGUAAUUCA